Molecule: long non-coding RNA, 678 nt
Organism: Olea europaea var. sylvestris
Lineage: Eukaryota; Viridiplantae; Streptophyta; Magnoliopsida; Lamiales; Oleaceae
Exons: 2
Source: RefSeq, a predicted model, not a curated record
CAUAAUCGUAUAACAGAAUCCCUUUUCCUUUUUCCGCCCAGUUCCGCUACACGGCCAGAAGUAUUCCAAGCAAAUCCCGGCUGACGUGGCGAAAAAAAAAAAAAAGACGCAAAAAAGGACCAAUUAAUUGAUGCAUUUGACCGCAUGUCAUCCAAUUUUCCCCCAAUUCACCCACCGCCCACAUAGUAGGUUUCACCCAAGGAACUCGAUUGCACUUCCAGCAAUAGUUUUCGACUGCACUUUCCCCCAAGAAUCAAGAUCCCUUCCACACCAGAGUUUAACUAUUUAACUUUCAUGCUGGAAGUCGGUGAAAUUUCUGCCUUAGAUGUUACAAGGCCACCAGCUAAUUCCUGUAUAAUUCUUAUCUUUACAGCAGCACUAUCUUGCAGAUUCUUAAAAAUAGUUUGGAGUUACUGGUCAUCGACUUUGGUGAGUCGAUGGUUCAAUGUUGCCUAGAUGUUGGCCUCAAUGAUGAAGUAGACCUUCGAAUUUCAAUGAAUGUGACGAUAUGCAAGGCAGAAGGCAGCCGAAAGUGGAAUGCAUAGAGGAAGGGUUCCACUUGAUUAGUUAUGAUAUGAACUUUUUUUUAUGUAGGAUUAUGAUGAUAGAAUCUAUUUGAUCUCUGUAUGUAAACUAAUCGAAUGUCAAUGGGUACAUUGCAUAUUUUUUAGCCUUGCA